Molecule: long non-coding RNA, 605 nt
Filed under: Homo sapiens (human)
Lineage: Eukaryota; Metazoa; Chordata; Mammalia; Primates; Hominidae
Description: non-protein coding lnc-CNBD2-1:1
Source: RNAcentral
AAAAAGAAAAAAGAAAAGUCUUCUAUUCCUUUCAUAUAACUCCUAGGAAAGUCUUACCUUCCAGUUAAGGGGUGAAAUGGGUCACUUUGCUCAUCUGCAAGGCUACAUCAUAGGGAAAUACUUUCAGGGCAGUACACGUACAGGCCAUUUUACCAUGAUGCCUUUCUACUGCUGGGGGAUUUAUGGGGCUUAACUGCAAGGGUGCUGAGUUGCUGAAUUUGUAAUCACUGGUCCAGAGCAAACAAUGAGGAUGAGUAGCAGUUUCUAGGUGGCUGAUAAGCAGGAUCAAAGCAUAAACAAAGGUUUUUCAUGGCUGCUGCCAAACUGUGGGCCUUGGGGACAGACACUGGAGGGCUGGGGCAGUGAGAGGUAGCAGAGUUCAGAUGUGUGCUGUGUGACUCUCCGCCAGGCUCCAUCCCUUUCCUGAGCUUCAUGCCUAGCAUCUGUGCAAUUCCAGGGGUCCAGCGGGUGUUCUGCACACAUAGCCCCCACCCCAGGGGCUGAGCAGGGCCCCACCCGCCUCUCUUGUUUUGUCCUCACCUAUCUCGUACUUCCAAAACCACCCACCCCCAACAGAAAGUCAGGAUCAAGAAAGUGGAUUAUUG